GAUUCCCCAUUCAGCAACACGCAAUUGGAAGAGUUACGUUACCACAAUAUCUGAGUUGAUAAUUAUUAAUAAUAGCACUUAUUAAUUAUUUCAAACAGUAAUUAUCUUCACUUGUAUCUUUUUAAGUUAAGGACGAUCUAAAAUUAUUUUCUAUAUAAGUUUUAUUAAAAUUAUCAUACAUGGAUUUGAAAAAUUCUUCCGUUGGUCCUUCUUCCUGCACGCAAUUGUUAAAUUAUUGUGCUUAUAAUUGCAGGGAACAUUCGUGGAAAACGAAGAACGAGAGCGGAAAAAUUUAUAUUUCUCUACUCGAGGCCACUAUAAUUUUUUCUUCUUCUUUCGUCGGUAUUUCCCCCGAACAUAUACCUAUCCAUUACACGGUUGUUUCCCAGUGCUCCCUGUAUCGCCCUUUAAAAGCCUUACAAUGCGUCAUCACCGUCGUUCGCUACUGCUCAGACCUGGAGUGCCCUACAACCGUACAAAAGGAUAUAAUCGCAACCCUACAAUAGAAUAGAGUUCGUUUGGAUCAUAAUAAUUUCAAUUGAAGGAACGAACGACGGAGUGGUUCAAAGGGCGUACACGAAUGUCUUCUGAGAGAGCGAACACUGUUAAACUGAGCAUCGCGUUCCGACCGAGCGUGAGCUAAAUGAUCAAAAUAUGGCCCUCGCGUGACAGAUGUGGAGAACAAUCUUUCUUUGCCUUACCAGGAUAUUAUACGUUUCUAUGUUCUUUUACUUUUUUAAUGUAUAUGAUACAUUACAGCGCUUGUAGACGUAGUACGUACAUACUAACAGAUGUAGAUAAUAUGUAAAAAAUCGGUAGUUUAAGUAUUAAAUGCAAUUAGGUUUGGCUUGGUUGAUGUUAGUUUGGCUUAAUGCUAGUGGACUGUCGUUAGGUUAAUUUCGUGUAAUUUCUUUAUAUUUGACCUGCUUUACUUCGUUUUAUGAAAUUUGCAGAAUCUACAAGGAACUCAGGAGAUCCAGGCAAAUCGGACAAUUCAGGAGAUCCAGACAUGUGAGAUGAGAAUUCAGUAGAUUCAGAUAAAUCGGACAAGAAGAAAAUCAAAAGUAUCUGAAUCCGGUAUUAACCAAAAGAAGAGAAAUCCAGAAUGGAAAUGGAAGAAAAUGGAAAGGAAUCACAGCAACUGUAUAAUUCUGACUGUCGUUGGUUCGACUCCCAUAAAAAUACAUUUCAACAGAUUAUAAUAGGGGACAGACGUACACGAUGGGGAUGGCUGGUGAAUUGCCGGACCUCAAAGGUCGUUUCGCCCGAUGAAUCCCCUGAAACGCGUGGCGGAGUGAUCGCCUUUCGAUCGAACGUAUCCUAUGUUUUAUGAAGCUGAUCGACCAAGAGAAGAUGGAGAAUUCCAUGGACACCAGUGAUCCUGUUUCAAGUUAGAUCUGCGGAGAUUCUUUUCUUCGUUUGGCGGAAACUCAAAAUUCUCGAACGAAAAUUUACAUCGAUCUGAGUAGAGACCGUGGUUUCCGUUCGAUUUUCUAUUCAAACUUUACCUUAUGUAAAUCAAAUUUGACUGAAGGUAAAGCAUCAACCGGUAGAUGGUGAUGAUAUGCUGGUUCCAGUA
Molecule: long non-coding RNA, 1579 nt
Organism: Bombus terrestris (buff-tailed bumblebee)
Lineage: Eukaryota; Metazoa; Arthropoda; Insecta; Hymenoptera; Apidae
Exons: 3
Source: RefSeq, a predicted model, not a curated record